Molecule: long non-coding RNA, 1182 nt
Filed under: Prunus persica (peach)
Lineage: Eukaryota; Viridiplantae; Streptophyta; Magnoliopsida; Rosales; Rosaceae
Description: long non-coding RNA (PPER_LNC006724)
Source: RNAcentral
UACGAGAGAACUGAAACUUAACCCAUGAUUCAUAUGGGCCAAGUGAUCAGCACAAACCUUACUUUUUCCUUUUGGGUUGACGUGAUCAGCUCAAACUUGAAAUACGAUUGCCUCAUAUGGUUCAACAACAAUCUGCAAGAGUGUGAUAAUAUUUCCAGCCCUCCCUUAUAUUCUCACAAACUUUAUAUUUUCAAUAAAACUUAUAAACAUGCCAGUUACUAAUUCAUAAACGCACAUGGUGACACAUGGUGAAAAUAGCAGCACGCAUUCAUAAUUACAAUCUUAUCGUCAAUUCAUAAAUAAGGUACAAGUCGAAAUUCAUAACUAUAAUUUGAUUUGAUAUGUACAAAAAUCUAAUUGAUGAAUUGACAUCUCAUUCUAUCUCAUCCAUAAAUCCAAAUUGAGUAAGUUGCGUCGUGCAUAUGCAAAUUAUGCAAUUGCCAAUUGCUGCUCCAAAUUAAUAUAAAGUGAUAAAUAUCCUCAUCCUCUUCUUCACCUUCAUUCAUAAUUAACCACUUGCAUUGUUUUGUAACCCAUUAUUUAAUAUCCUCUAUUUCUUUAGAGACAAUGUUUUCUUCAGCUUAUUCUCCUUCCUCUGCCAGCUUGAAGAAGAGAAAGAGAGAUAGCAAGGCCAAGGCUGGUCAGCAGAAACGUCUGAAUGAGGAAAGUGAACGUCUAGUGAGAAAGAUCACUGAGGGCUAUGAAGUUUAUGAGGCUAUGAACAAACGUCGUCGUACCAUGGAGUUAGCGAACAGUUUUUUGAGGGCUGAAAAAAUGAAACUCCUUGGGUAUUUGAACGACAUCCACUUGUUUAUCUGCAAGUUUCAAGAAACUGGUGUUGAUGGCAAUCCCCUUCCAAAACCUCCACUGUCUAUGCUUGAUUAAUAUGUUCUCCUUGUCUUAGUUAAGUUUAAUUAAUGUAUAUUAUGUUAUUAAUUGGUUUAGUGUAUGUGAUGUUUGUGUCGCUUACCUAGGACUAGGAGUGCUUAACAAUGAACAAUGGUGAUGUUUGAUUCUUUUUGUUACGGUCGUUUUGUUUCUUAUAUAAUUUGUCAUUGCAAAAGCUGUUCCUUUUUUAUUUAUUUACUUUGACAAGGGUUGCAAUUGCAAACUAGUAAAGUUGGACUUGUAUUGUGCGAUCCGUUUACAAAAUGCAAUUCCAUCUUGAAGGUUCAACAAAAA